UACGAAAGGGGCUAGCGUUGUUCGGAAUUACUGGGCGUAAAGCGCACGUAGGCGGACUGUCAAGUUGGGGGUGAAAUCCCGGGGCUCAACCUCGGAACUGCCUCCAAAACUGUCAGUCUAGAGGAUGUGAGAGGAUAGUGGAAUUCCGAGUGUAGAGGUGAAAUUCGUAGAUAUUCGGAAGAACACCGGUGGCGAAGGCGACUGUCUGGCACAUUUCUGACGCUGAGGUGCGAAAGCGUGGGGAGCAAACAGG
This 253-nucleotide ribosomal RNA is filed under the name uncultured bacterium. RNAcentral describes it as "partial 16S ribosomal RNA". It matches the Rfam family "Bacterial small subunit ribosomal RNA", at positions 524 to 776 of the family's 1533-position model. The record is from RNAcentral.